UCUCCGUAGGUGAACCUGCGGAGGGAUCAUUACAGAGUUCAUGCCCUACCGGGUAGAUCUCCCACCCUAUGUUAUUAUUACUUUGUUGCUUUGGCGGGCCGUUAGGCUCCGGCCCGACUACCGGCCCCGGCUGGUAAGCGCCCGCCAGAGGACCCAAAACCCUGAAUAUUAGUGUCGUCUGAGUACUAUAUAAUAGUUAAAACUUUCAACAACGGAUCUCUUGGUUCUA
RNAcentral lists this unclassified non-coding RNA (229 nucleotides) under plant metagenome. Its description in RNAcentral is "partial contains small subunit ribosomal RNA, internal transcribed spacer 1, and 5.8S ribosomal RNA". The record is from RNAcentral.